This is a non-coding RNA of Callithrix jacchus (white-tufted-ear marmoset), 6484 nucleotides long. NCBI's taxonomy places the organism in Eukaryota, Metazoa, Chordata, Mammalia, Primates, Cebidae. The record is from RefSeq and is a predicted model, not a curated record.
UAGGGGGAGGGGCGGGGCCUCGAGGCCCGCUCUGCCCAUUGGCCUGGGUCGCCCGGGACCGCUUUCUAACAUCCCAGCGCCGCGCGGGUACAAGUGCGUGGGCUCGCAGCUGUCUGCCGCGGCAGCCCCGGGUGAGCAUGGGCUUGGGACCUACUGAGCAGCGGGACCUGGCGGCUGGCGUUCUGGUGUGGGGCCGAGAAUAAACCCUUCUUCUGAAAAGCCACUGGCCCGUUGUUAAAUGAAGUUGGCGGCAUAGAGACAUUUAAGACUCUGGAGGGGAAACACCGCAUGAGGGAAACUAUUAUCACCACGAGGAGAACAGCAGUAAACUGAGGCAGGAGUACAGUGCUGUGAUCUCAGCUCACUGCAACCAGCGCCUCCCAGGUUCAAGUAUUUCUCUGCUUCAGCCUCCUGAGUAGCUGAGACUACAGGUGCAUGCUACCACACCCAGCUAAUUUUCAUAUUUUUAGUAGAGAUGGGGUUUUACCUUGUUGGCCAGAUGGUCUCAAUCUUUGACCUUGUGAUCCACCCACAUCGGUCUUCCAAAGUGCUGGGAUUACAGGUGUGAGCCACGGCACCCAGCCCAAUCAGCUUUAUUUCAAGUUCUUCAAUAGGUGUACAGUUCCAGAAGUCUACAGGAGCUCUUUUGUGGUGAGAAAUGCAGAUCCAAGAUUCAAGGCCUUGAAGUUUGUUGCAGAAAAGAACUUGGUAUGGUCCCUUUCAACCGAGUUCAAGUAAUGUGACUUCUCUGGUGUUAUUUCCAAAAUACCCCAUCUCCAGGUUCUAUAUUAUGAAACAUUUCUUUGUCAUCAGUUGAUGGGUCAUGAAGGACUUCUUUCACCUGGUAAAAAUAUGCUUUGGCAGAUGCAUUCAGUAGAAGAUACAUGAGACUUUAUUAUUAGGGGUAUAAGCCUUCCAGUAACUAUUUUAUAAGGGAUCAAUUUAUGUUUUCCAGUGGGAAUGAUCUUAUUGCCCUCAACCAAACUGACCAAGGCAACCUAAUCAAUUCAAUUAGCUUUUCUUAUACUGUUAUAUUUAUAAUACCUAUUUAACUGUUUGACAACUUGUCUAGUGAAACGAGUACCUCUGUUGCUGGAAAUUUCUCCAGCAGUGCUCCAUAAGGGAAACACGUUUUUCAGUAACCUUUUAGCAUUGGCCUUCCGGCAUUGGAACUCUUCUAUAUAACCAGAAAACAUGUAUUUAAAGUAGAAAUUGAAUGAAAGCCAUUUGUAAGUGUUCAGGAACUGUAUCAUUUGAAGUUUUUAUUGUCUUGCCACAAUUAUGGGUUUGACAAACCAAGCAUUAACUGUUUUAGCAAUUUUGUAACAGUCACUCCACUGAUCUUUUUUUCAUAAUUUGAAUCAUUUUAUCUCCUCCAUAAUGAAUUAUAGAAUGCAGAGCUUUUAAUAUUGAAAGAUUUAAGACUCCAGAAGAACCAAGCAGCCAUCCAAGUUCUUCCUGCAUUCAGACUUAACACCGGAUUUACAUUCUCUUAAAUACCAACUUUGUCUCUCCAGUUCAGGUGCUUAUAGCACUGUUUAUUAAAUAUGUUUUAUCAAAUGUAAUUUGACUUGGAUCAAUAUUAUAGAGUUAAUUCAAAUUGUAAAUCUUAAUUUCAGUACUGGCUUAAUCAGCACAAAAUUCUGCCCAGGUAAUCUCCUUGUUAUUAUUUCUUGUUCUGCAUGAUAUUAGGUUAGCAAUUUUAUGAAUCGGUCAAUUUCUUCAUUAGAGUCCUGGAAAUUCUUACCCAAUCCAAUGGUAUGACUUUAAAGUUAGCAGAAACCUAUACUUCUCAGAGUUUUUCCAUGAAUCUCCUUAAAGACGAACAGUUUAGGCUUACGGUUUUUCAGGAAAGUGUCAGAAUAAACAAUUAUCUGUGAAUGACAAGUCUUAAAAUGGCCAUGACUUUAAAGUUCUGGUAAGAGUUCAUUACGAUAGUGACAAGAAAACUCAGUUACUUCUAUUGUAGUCAAUAUUUUAAGACAAUAACUAGAAUUAUGACUGAUAGCUUUAUAGCAGGACUAUUAGAUUUCUAUGAAUUUUACACAAUUUCUGAGAUAGAGUUUCACUCUUGUUACCCAGGCUGGAAUGCAAUGGUGCAAUCUCAGUUCACUGCAACCUCCCCCUCCUGGGUUCAGGAAAUUCUCCUGCCUCGGCCUCCUGAGUAGCUGGGAUUACAGGCACGCGCCACCAUGCCCAGCUAAUUUUUAUAUUUUUAGUAGAGACGGGGUUUUACCAAGUUGACCAGGAUGGUCUUGAUCUCUUGACCUCGUGAUCCACCUGCCUCAGCCUCCCAAAGUGCUGGGAUUACAGGCUUGAGCCACUGCACCCAGCCCUUCUGAAAUUCAUAUUAAUAACACAUUCAUAUAAAUAUAAUUCCAAAAAAUUUAAUAUUAUUUGAUAAUGCUUCCCAUAUGAUUUAAUAUAUCAGAUCAGCUCAAGUAGUUUAAUAUGUCUCUUUCUAUAAGGAGAGAUAUUCUUUUGAGAUUUUCUAAAGGCGCAUAUGGAAAAUCUCAAAGUUAAGACUUAAUUUAGAGUUUUAUUUUGGAAAGUUUAUCAAAAAUAUUAAAGGUUUAAAACAUUUUAUCAAAAAAAUUCACAGGUCACUGUGAACAAUAGUUGUUCAUUUAAUCAAAGUGAUAAUUUAAAGACUUCAAAGGCAAAUACAGAAAGUUGCAUAGUUGUAACUUACAUCUUUUAAUAAAGGGGACUUGGUUUUCAUAAGUGAUCAAAAACCUGAUAAACACAAUGUGAAGCACCAGAAAUUAUCUUGGUAAAAUACAGAAUCUUUGCUUCCUAGGCCAAUUAUAUAAAAAGUAAAGGAAACCUUUUUAAAAUUUCCUCUCAAGAGCAGGCCAAUAAUUCAAGAAAACCUUAUUGUUUUAACAGAGAGGACUACAUUCUAGUUUUGCAUCAGCGUAUGUUUGAUAUUAAUACUCAACUUUUGGAGAAACUCAUAAUUAAUUUUUUUCUAAUAUUAGCCAGCUUAAUCACACGUAAAAUUCCAUUCAUAAGAUUCAUCUUCCAGAAAACUUCUGUAACUUCCUUAUCUGUUCAAUUUUUCUCCUAUACGUUUUCUCUUCAUAUUUUGGAACAACUAGUCAUUCUACUUGAUGAUAAAAGCUAUUCUUUUUUUUCCCUUAACAAAAAAAUUCUUAUACCUUAUAACUUUUUCUUACCCAAGAAGCACAUCUUAACUUCCUUAUAUACUUGCAUAUAGAGUUUUUCUCUAUUUCUAAUAAUUCUAUAUAUUAAAUAAAAUAUGUUAAUUAGAAUUCUUUUUUUUUUUUUUAGAUGGAGUCUUGCUCUGUUGCCCAGGCUGGAGUGCAGUGGCGUAAUCUUAGCUCACUGCAACUUCCACCUCCCAGGUUCAAACGAUUCUCCUGUCUCAGCCUCCCAUGUAGCUGGGACUACAGGCACCCACCACCACACCAGGCUAAUUUUUGUAUUUUUAGUAGAGACGAGGUUUCACCAUAUUAUUGGCCAGACUGGUCUUGAACUUCUGACCUCAUGAUCUGCCCAUCUCUGCCUCCCAAAGUGCUGUGAUUACAGGCUUGAGCUACUGUGACGGGCCAGUUAGAAUUCUUAAUCCUUAGUGACCUUAAUUGCCUAUAAAUACUAGGAAGCAAGCAAUUGUGAACUGUCACAUCACUCAUCUGUACCUUGGCAAAUCUAUGAAUCAUUACUUCCAGGAAAAUGUGCUGUCUUAUAGUACAAUUUGACUGUGCCCCAGAACAUGUUUGUUAACAAUUACAAAUAUCUUUGGUCUGUCAGUAAUAAAAAACUGUAGAGGAGACAAAAUUUCAUCUCUACCCUCUUAGGUUUUCUUUUUUCAUGGCUAAGCCUGAGAAUUAAAUUGUUUGUAUAGAUUUCCUUCAACUUCAGUUUUCCAUCUUAAGGAUAAGAAUCUUAAAACCUUCUAGUAUAGGAAGGACUCCUAUAUGGGAAGUUUUCUUACAUCUGUUUAACUCACUUAUUUUUAACAAUUAUGCUUAGAUUGCUUAUAAAGAUGAAACAGUAACAGCUAGUCAUCAUCUAAGUUAUUUCUCUUGCUGACAUAUCUUGUAAUCCAGAGAUAACAUAAGUUCAUUUUACCAGUUACAUAUUCAGAGUUUUAAGCAUUAAAUAUAUUACAGACAUGUAACUUUUCCUACAGUAGGACAAUGGAAUCAACAAUAUUCUUAUUUACCAAGAUCACCCAAGUAAUGUGAACUUGAAAGGAUUUGAGCUCUUAAUUUUCUGAGUGAAUACUUUAUUUAUAUUAGGACUUAUUUUUUAAAAAGCCAAAGAAAUAAAGCUUUUUUUCAGUUUAAUUUGCCAAUAUUAUAAGGAGAUAUAAAAAUAUCGCAUAUAUGUAUCUUACCUACACAUCUGUCCAUAAACAGAUAAACAGACACAAGUCUUCUAUAGCUUUUAUUUAAAAAAUUUAGCCAUUUGCUAGGCACAAUAAUAUAAAACUCACUAAUUCAUUUAAAAAUAUCUGAACCAAAAUUGCUUUCCUGGCCAGUAGAAUAAGAUUUCCUGCCCCCAUGGGUAAAGCUUUAAAUUAUAUUUGUGGAAAAGAUAUUUAAGAUUUUUUUCAUUUGCUUUCUGUAAGGAACCUUAUAAAGAGACAAUCUUUGCUUUAUUUAAUAUUUUAGAUGCCUCUACAUACCAAUUGUAAAAUGUAUCCCAUUGCUUUUUGGCAUUUUGUAUUCUUUUUUUAAUGUCCCCACAAGUGAACAAUUUUAUGUAUGUUAAAAUUUCCCCAUUAUAACAACUAUAAUUCUAAGUUGUCCUGUUAAGGGACAUUUUUUUAAAAAACACUGGGCCCAUAAUUUUUGUGCACAAAGUUAGCUGGUGUACCAAAAAGUGGAGUCCCAGAUUCUUGGAAUCCCAGACAUUUGUUGUUGUUGUUGUUGUUAUUGUUGUUGAUGAGAUGGAGUUUCACUCUGUCACUCAGACUGGAGUGCAGUGGUGUGAUCUUGGCUCACUGCUAUCUCUGCCUCCUGAGUUCAAGUGAUUCUCCUGCCUUAGCCUCCCAAGUAGCUGGGAUUACAGGUGCCUGCCACCACACCUUAGUAAAGAUAGGGUUUCACCAUGUUGACCAGGCUGGUCUUAAACUCCUGACCUCAGGUGAUCCGCACACCUUGGCCUCCCAAAGUGUGAGCCACUGUGCCCAGCUAGAAUACCAGACUUUUUAAAUUUGGAGAAACCCAUUUUCAAAAGAUACCAACCUCAGGCCUCUGACUGGAUCCAAUCCAGUUACUUAGAUCCAAUCAGAUCCCAGACCCAGUUCAGGAAAACUCCUCAAACUCAGAGAGGUCAAAACAAAAAUUCAUAGAGCUUGAAUUUAAGAGAGAAUGCUGCCAUGAUCCCAGUUGCCGUGAGAGAUCAGUGGGCACAUGAUCCCUGGUGAGUAUCUUCACUUGGUCAUACAGUGCUCCUUUGUGUCCCUGGAGGUCUACUUUGGGUCCUACUUUUGAUACCAAUCUAUUAAAAUAAAUACUUUAGACAAAUUAAAUAUUAGUAGAGUUUAUUUGAACAAAGAAAGUGCAUGAAUUGGGUAGCACCUUGAACCAGUAACAGUUCAGAGAGCUUCACCCAGCAAUAGUGGAUAGGCAGUAUUUAUAGACAGAAAAAGAAAGUGACAUAAAGAAAUAACUUGGUUACAACUCUUUAUCUGCCUUAUUUUGUCAUGGUCUGAGCAGUGGUAGCUUGUAAUUGGCUGAAAUCUCAGUUGGUAUGAUUGGCUGAGACAUGGCUACUUGUUAUAAGAAUAUACUCUCAAGUUAGAUUGUAGUGUGUUUACAUAUUAACAUAGGUUAAAGUUUGCUGUGUAUGGAGAACUUUAGGCCACAUUUAAUUUAACAAUAUAUAAUAAAGACCCACAAACAUCAAACAAGUCCUUCCCCUACUAGAAGUAACUGUCAUAGUGGGUCCUGUGCUCCCUUUUUCUUUUUUUGCUUUGAUCUCAUCUUUAUAUCUAAUUCUGUAAAAAAAACAUUCAGAAAGCACUGUUGUUGAGCACCCUUGUUAGACUUAGGAGAUCACUACGGGCAGAAGAGAAAGUGUUAGAUUCAAGUAAUUAAAGUCCAUUACAUGCUAGACUGUAGCAAAUGCAAAAACUUAUAGUAUAUAAAUGUAAAAGGAAGAUUACACAGACAAACUUAGUAACUUGAAGCAUGAGUCAAUUUAUGAAGAAAGAGAAUUUGCUUCAGCGGAAGCAACAAAUUCAAAGGCAGAAGCAUGAGAAAAUGCAACAGGUAAAGUGAGCGAGGAAUUAGGUGUGGUUAGAAAUGAAGCUAGGAUGGUAGGUUGGGAGGAUGAUUAGGUGGGUUUUAACUUUUAGAUCUCAUUUAUAACAUAUAAAGUUAUAAAUUUUAUAAAAUUUAUAAAUUGUAUAAUGUUAUAAAAUUUAUAUAUAUAUAUAAUUUAUAUCUAUAUAUAUAUAUAUAUAUAUGCCAAAGACAGUCUAAUUACAGUGUUGUCAUAUAUGUUUUUU